RNAcentral lists this ribosomal RNA (253 nucleotides) under uncultured bacterium. RNAcentral describes it as "partial 16S ribosomal RNA". It matches the Rfam family "Bacterial small subunit ribosomal RNA", at positions 524 to 776 of the family's 1533-position model. The record is from RNAcentral.
UACGUAGGGCGCAAGCGUUAUCCGGAAUUAUUGGGCGUAAAGAGCUCGUAGGCGGUUUGUUGCGUCGGCUGUGAAAUCCCGAGGCUCAACCUCGGGUCUGCAGUCGAUACGGGCAAACUAGAGUGUUGCAGGGGAGACUGGAAUUCCUGGUGUAGCGGUGAAAUGCGCAGAUAUCAGGAGGAACACCGGUGGCGAAGGCGGGUCUCUGGGCAACAACUGACGCUGAGGAGCGAAAGCGUGGGGAGCGAACAGG